ACGAACGCUGGCGGCGUGCUUAACCCAUGCAAGUCGCACGGAAAGGCCCUGCUUGCCGGGUACUCGAGUGGCGAACGGGUGAGUAACACGUGGGUGAUCUGCCCUGCACUUCGGGAUAAGCCUGGGAAACUGGGUCUAAUACCGGAUAGGAGCCAUUUUUAGUGUGAUGGUUGGAAAGUUUUUUCGGUGUAGGAUGAGCUCGCGGCCUAUCAGCUUGUUGGUGGGGUAAUGGCCUACCAAGGCGGCGACGGGUAGCCGGCCUGAGAGGGUGGACGGCCACAUUGGGACUGAGAUACGGCCCAGACUCCUACGGGAGGCAGCAGUGGGGAAUAUUGCACAAUGGGCGCAAGCCUGAUGCAGCGACGCCGCGUGGGGGAUGACGGCCUUCGGGUUGUAAACUCCUUUCGCUAGGGACGAAGCUUUUUGUGACGGUACCUAGAUAAGAAGCACCGGCUAACUACGUG
RNAcentral lists this ribosomal RNA (464 nucleotides) under uncultured bacterium. RNAcentral describes it as "partial 16S ribosomal RNA". It matches the Rfam family "Bacterial small subunit ribosomal RNA", at positions 29 to 507 of the family's 1533-position model. The record is from RNAcentral.